AGAGUUUGAUCCUGGCUCAGAUUGAACGCUGGCGGCAUGCCUUACACAUGCAAGUCGAACGGCAGCGCGGGGGGUAACUCCUGGCGGCGAGUGGCGAACGGGUGAGUAAUAUAUCGGAACGUGCCCUGGAGUGGGGGAUAACUAGUCGAAAGAUUAGCUAAUACCGCAUACGAUCUACGGAUGAAAGUGGGGGAUUCGCAAGAACCUCAUGCUCGUGGAGCGGCCGAUAUCUGAUUAGCUAGUUGGUAGGGUAAAAGCCUACCAAGGCGACGAUCAGUAGCUGGUUUGAGAGAACGACCAGCCACACUGGGACUGAGACACGGCCCAGACUCCUACGGGAGGCAGCAGUGGGGAAUUUUGGACAAUGGGGGCAACCCUGAUCCAGCAAUGCCGCGUGUGUGAAGAAGGCCUUCGGG
This 416-nucleotide ribosomal RNA is filed under the name uncultured bacterium. RNAcentral's name for it is "bacterial SSU rRNA". It matches the Rfam family "Bacterial small subunit ribosomal RNA", at positions 8 to 422 of the family's 1533-position model. The record is from RNAcentral.